This 1318-nucleotide long non-coding RNA is filed under the name Canis lupus dingo (dingo). RNAcentral describes it as "lncRNA (ENSCAFG00020020628.1)". Lineage: Eukaryota; Metazoa; Chordata; Mammalia; Carnivora; Canidae. The record is from RNAcentral.
AAAGAGAGAGACAAGCAGGCCUCCCUCCGGGCCUGGCUGCUGUCCCCUGAACCCCGUGAACAAAUCUCUACCAACAAUCAUAAUAACAAUAAAUAAUAAAUAACAAUAAAACAGUAGUUAACAGUCCCUCCCUAGCAGGAUAACAAUAAAAUGCAAGAGGAGAGAUUUUGAGGAGGGGCCAGGGGACCGAGUCACCAUCACAGCAUCUGAGGGGAAGACAAGGGAGGGAGGAGGCAAGUUAGCUUCUUCCUAUAUGCCCUGGGGGCGCCGGGUUUGGGAACCCCUGUCCGCCCGGGUCCUCCGGCCAGAGGAGGAGAGGGAGAGCCAGGAGGCCGCUCCGCCUGCUGCUUUUUCGCCGGCUUUGGCUUUGUGCGAUCAGGGCAGGGCUCCCACAUGUGGGGGUGAUUAGUGGCUUUGGGGAGUCUCUGGAGUCCCCGUUUUGAAGAGGAGGGCGAGCGAACAGGGUGAGGCGAGGGGGCAGAGGGGGGUGAGGCGGUGGCCGAGCGGGUCGGCCCCUCUGGGGACACAGGUGCCGGGCGGCCGCGCGGGUCGGAAGGAAGCAGGAAAGCACGUACGGCCCCGGGAGCCGGAGAGCAGGGCCGGGUUUCCGGUAGGCCCGGGCAGGUUCCCUUUCUAGGGGCUUUUCAAACACACAAGCAAAGAAAAACGACAACGACAGCAACAACAACAAGACAACAAAAAAACCCAAAGAGCAAAAGAAGGAGAAGAAGGAAGGAGGGGUUGAGGCGCUGAAUUGUCCUUGGUGCGCUUGGAGCCAGCGGAUUUCCAGAAAGGAAGAGGAGACCGCGAUCCCGGAUCCCUCCACGUUCGCCUCAUUCUCUCCAGAUUCUGAGUGGUCUCUCGGACCACCCGAAGAGCCCCCUGGAGUCCCAGUUGCUCACCUCCUCAGCCCCAACCCAGGACAGAGAACUACAGCCGGCAUCACGACAGUCCUGACCACAGACAGGGCCACUUGGCCGGUCGUGGAGAUCCUGGACGUUGCAGCUCAGACUACGCAGACUCCGAGCUCUCCACCUCCCUGUCCAAGCACACACAGUCGCUCCUGGGAAGAAGCCAGUCCAGGCUGGAGAACACAAGAGCCAGGUAGAGUCACUAUAAAGAUGAACUGAAUAUAAAGAGUCAAUAUAGGGGGACGCUUGGGGGGCUCAGAGGUUAAGCAUCUGCCCUCAGCUCAGGGCGUGAUCCUGGGGUCCGGGGAUCGAGUCCCACAUUGGGCUCCCCUCAUGGAGCCUGCUUCUCCCUCUGCCUGUGUCUGUGUGUCUCUCAUGAAUAAAUAAAUAAAAUCUUUUAUUUUAAG